UUGUCCUACGGGGCGCAGCAGUGGGGAAUAUUGCACAAUGGGGGAAACCCUGAUGCAGCAACGCCGCGUGAGUGAGGAAGUAUUUCGGUAUGUAAAGCUCUAUCGGCAGGGAAUAGAAAAGAAGGUACCUGAAAAAGAAGCCCCGGCUAACUACGUGCCAGCAGCCGCGGUAAUACGUAGGGGGCAAGCGUUAUCCGGAUUUACUGGGGGUAAAGGGAGCGUAGACGGAGAGGAAAGUCAGAAGUGAAAACCCAAGGCUCAACCAUGGGACUGCUUUUGAAACUGUCAAACUAGAGUACGGGAGG
Molecule: ribosomal RNA, 305 nt
Filed under: uncultured bacterium
Lineage: Bacteria
Description: bacterial SSU rRNA
Rfam family: Bacterial small subunit ribosomal RNA
Source: RNAcentral